This 2159-nucleotide long non-coding RNA is filed under the name Homo sapiens (human). Its description in RNAcentral is "HSALNT0173428". The record is from RNAcentral. Lineage: Eukaryota; Metazoa; Chordata; Mammalia; Primates; Hominidae.
AAGCUAAAUAUAAACUUUUAUUACAUCCCAAUGCAAGAUGUUUCCAAUACAAUCUAUUUCCUUCAAAGGUGGGGUGGAGAAUGAGGGGUGGGGUUUGGGCCACAUAUUUUUAUGUUUACAUUUUAUUUCAGAUUGGAAAAUUUGUAUUUCACUGUCAAAUCAAGUAAGAACACAUUUAUUACUUAGUGUUGCUUGAAAUAAUAUCUACAAUGUUUAAAGUUUCAUUUAAAAGCAUAAACUUCUUUUAAGCUCAAAGUUAAAAACACAAAUAUAAACUGCAUUUCAUGUUCUGUUAAUAUUUAGCUGUGUGGCAAUGGAUGAGUAUUUUUUCUCUGUGAGGCUUUGUUUUCUCAUCUGGCAAAUGAGGAAAUUGAUGCAGAUCAUCUUCAAGUUCCCUUCAUGAUAUUUAAUAUAACUAUUUAUGUCAUGCUUGUAAAUAGUAGGUGAUGAUGAAGGUUACUGUUCCCCACAGGUGAAUGCUGCAAUGAUCAUUGGUAGGACUGUUAGGCUUUGUUUCUCAAGAGGAUAAUCUGAUUGGGAAAAGAAUAAGAGUGCAGCUGCAGCCCAUCCUUGUGAAGAAGGUACCAGUGCGCUCUCAAAGCCAAGUCUUGAAAAUAAUAGCGAAUGCUGUAUUGGAUAACAGCCAUGCCAGAUACAGAGAAGCCACAGAUGGCAUUGUCACCAGAAAAUGGAAGCACAAAGCGCUUUGGGUAACAGCAAUUCAAGAAUGACUGCAGAGAAAAUCUAUUAAGAAAUUCAAAUGCAGAUUUCAAUAUUUACUCCUUUUCAUUCUCUUCCUCUCUCUCUCGCUCACUUGCUCUUUUUCUCUCUCCCACCUUGUUUUUCUCGCUCUCCUUUUUUUUGCAUACAGUUUCUCAGUAAAAUACAUUUGAUUAAAUUUUAUAACAAACAAGCUUAUGAAAUGCAGAUAUACAAAAAGGAAAACAUAAGAAGCAUGCAUAAUUCUACCACUGAAAAAUACUACUAAAAUUUGGUAUUUAAACUUUUGAAUGUUUGUCACUGCACUUGCAUGUGUGUGUAAAUAUAAUCUCCAACUCUGCAGAGAAAUACAAGAAUUGUUAUGAACCUUAAUAAACUCCCAAAAGAUUUCAAAAGCAACUUCUCUGUCAUUAGAAUAUACUCAGAAAGUCAAUAACAUAUUUUAAUCCAUUCCAAGAGCCCCAUAUUUAUUGGGUCUAUGAGAAAGCAAUUUAUAGCGUUGGUUUUUUUAUAAGAAGAGUAGAUGGCCAUUUGGGGGCAAGUCAUGUGUCAUUUGGAAUAACCACAAUAGGUGGAAAAAAUGCCUCAGAUUCUGCUGCAAGACUAAGAGCCACAAGGAGCUUUUCGUUCCAUCACUAGUUGGACAUUUAUUGGACAUCAAUUUCAUAUACAAUCUCAUGGUCUGCACUGGGGAAUGACAAAAAAGUAUAAGAAAUUAUCUCUCACCUGAAGAAAUGUAUAGUGUAGGUUUGUUAAAAAUUAAGUUUUAGAACUCAUUUUUCAAACUAAAAUCUCAUGCUAAAAAUAAUAUAUAGAAUAGAUCAAAGCAGACUAUUAUGAAAGAUGCAAAGAUAGAUGGGCCUGGGGACCCAUCCAUCUGUUUUCCUCAAGUACCACUUAAGGCCCCCACAAACUAUAGAGUGGAAACCAAUAGCUACAGGAGAUAAAUGAAAACAUUGACAGGUCAAGGUUUGUGAAUAUAAGUGUGGUUGGUCAUGGUAAAGAAACCACAGUUAAUACGCUCCCUCUGCGUGCUGGAUGCUCAUCCUGGAGCUUUGCCUCUAUCAAUUAACUUAAUCCUCACAACAGUCUCGAUCUGUAGGUAUAAUAAAUCUAGGUUUGAAAAUACAAAAAUGACUUGUUCAAUAUAUCUCAUAGCUAUAUUUAGCAGAUCUGAGUUUCAAAUGCAAGUCUAGAUGACUCUGACAUCCAUGACAACUCUUACACCUAAAUAGAAUGCAAGAUUUGAAUAACUAUACACACACACAAGCACGUGCAUGCACACAUGCACACAUGCACACACAGGAUAUACAUGAUUAAUUGUGAAAUGAGAGGUUAACAGUCAGGUUUGAUGUGUCCUGAUUAGUGAGGGGAAGAAUUUACCUAAAAAUUCUGGGUGUAGUCAUUCAAGUAUGACGUAAAAGGGAAUGGAUUGCCAG